RNAcentral lists this ribosomal RNA (550 nucleotides) under uncultured bacterium. Its description in RNAcentral is "bacterial SSU rRNA". It matches the Rfam family "Bacterial small subunit ribosomal RNA", at positions 355 to 896 of the family's 1533-position model. The record is from RNAcentral.
UAGGGAAUCUUCGGCAAUGGACGGAAGUCUGACCGAGCAACGCCGCGUGAGUGAAGAAGGUUUUCGGAUCGUAAAGCUCUGUUGUAAGAGAAGAACGAGUGUGAGAGUGGAAAGUUCACACUGUGACGGUAUCUUACCAGAAAGGGACGGCUAACUACGUGCCAGCAGCUGCGGUAAUACGUAGGUCCCGAGCGUUGUCCGGAUUUAUUGGGCGUAAAGCGAGCGCAGGCGGUUAGAUAAGUCUGAAGUUAAAGGCUGUGGCUUAACCAUAGUAGGCUUUGGAAACUGUUUAACUUGAGUGCAAGAGGGGAGAGUGGAAUUCCAUGUGUAGCGGUGAAAUGCGUAGAUAUAUGGAGGAACACCGGUGGCGAAAGCGGCUCUCUGGCUUGUAACUGACGCUGAGGCUCGAAAGCGUGGGGAGCAAACAGGAUUAGAUACCCUGGUAGUCCACGCUGUAAACGAUGAGUGCUAGGUGUUAGACCCUUUCCGGGGUUUAGUGCCGUAGCUAACGCAUUAAGCACUCCGCCUGGGGAGUACGACCGCAAGGUUG